Molecule: small RNA, 1977 nt
Filed under: Pongo abelii (Sumatran orangutan)
Lineage: Eukaryota; Metazoa; Chordata; Mammalia; Primates; Hominidae
Description: retained intron
Source: RNAcentral
CCACGAUGGAAGGGGGUGCGUACGGAGCGGGCAAAGCCGGGGGCGCCUUCGACCCCUACGCCCUGGUCCGGCAGCCGCACACCAUCCUGCGCGUCGUGUCUUGGCUGUUCUCCAUAGUGGUGUUCGGCUCCAUCGUGAACGAGGGCUACCUCAACAGCGCCUCCGAGGGGGAGGAGUUCUGCAUCUACAACCGCAACCCCAACGCCUGCAGCUAUGGCGUGGCCGUGGGCGUGCUCGCCUUCCUCACCUGCCUGCUGUACCUGGCCCUGGACGUGUACUUCCCGCAGAUCAGCAGCGUCAAGGACCGCAAGAAAGCCGUCCUGUCCGACAUCGGUGUCUCGGGUGAGCCCCACCCAGCGGGUACCCCCUGCACAGAGUCUGCAGAGCAUUGUCCCGGCCAUAGGAGGCGGCUGCCGCCCUUCUUCCUUCUUCCCAUUUUCCAGAUGAGGAAAUGAGGUGCAGGCGGGUGAAGGGACGGACUCAGGGUCACAUGGCUGGCAGCAGGAAGGAUGGGACCAGGACAGGGCCUGGGACCCCAAAAUAACCCAUGCUGCCCACAGGCAGGGGGGCAUGGAUGGGAUUCUAGUUCCUUCUAGUCUAAGGGACCCAUGGAUGGCACUGGGCAUGUGCCAGCCCCCAUGGGUUGGCCCAUGUUUCAGUGGCCUCUUCUGUGCCACCUCCCUGGGGCAGCCUCAUGAGGACUAAGCAAGGCGGUGACUGGGUGCCCAGUGCACAGCAGGGGCCCUGGAGCCUCAGCCUCCCCACGCCUCCCAGCCAGACCUUGGCAGGACCAGGGCCUGGACCUGUGGAGCCAACCUGACCUGCUGCCCUUUGCCCUUCAGAAGCAGCCUUUGGCAGAGGCACCCUGACCUCUGCUCCGUGAGUUCCAGGAAUCUGAUUGGUGGAUGCUCUCAGUCAGGGGUCCGAACCCAAGGCUUCAGCCUCGCUGUUCCGAGGCUUGGGUCCCUGGACUGGGACCAACCCCUAGUUCUAAGCCUGGAGCUCUCAGGAUAAGCCAGGCUGAAGGCAGGUCAUGAGGCCUAGUUUUAGAAGGAACUAGAACUAAAUGAAUGGUUCUCAAACUUCCGCAGAGCCUCAGGGUUCCCUGGCAGUGCCUCUGGGAGGUGGGCUGGGCCCCAGGUGGGCACCUCACCUGCUUGGCAGAUGCAUGCCUUGUCCUGAGCAGGUCUGGGCUUCUCUGGGGAGACCUUGGCACUCACAGGAGAUUGUGUGGCCAUGAGGCUCCCACUGCUGAUGCCCCCAGGCUCGGCUCUCUGUGAGCCCCUCGCUAAACCUGGGGCUCUGUGGGGUCGCAGCACGUUAGAAGUCGAAGCCCAGACCCACCCAGCAAAGCUGCCAUCCUUGCCCCAGCCUCGUCCUCCUCCCCACACCUCAUUUGUCUGGCAGCCUGGGGGUUGGGGUCUUCCUACCUGCAGAGCUGCAGGCAUCAGGGGUGGACCGGGGGGGCCCAUGUCAGGGGUGUGGCUGGAGAUGGGGGUUUGGCAGAGGCUGCAGAAAUGCGGCCUGAGUUGAUUACCUUCUCUCUCUGUCUCUCCCUCCAUCCUCUUCUCUCACUGCCCGUGGCUCUCCUCUGACUGGCCCUGCCCCUGCCCUGUCUGUGGUCUCCUCCCCCCUGCAUCUUCUCUUGGCUCCCCUCUCUCUUCCCCUACCCCCUUUGCCUCUCUCUUUGGGGGUGGGGGAGCAUGGGAGAUGCACUCUUGAAUGUCCCCCUGUUCCUCGGCUUCCCCAUUUUCUCCCCACUCACCCUCUCCCCCACGUGUGGCACUGCCCAUUCUGCCCGGUCCUGGGACCCCCCAGCCUUCUGGGCUUUCCUCUGGUUCGUGGGAUUCUGCUACCUGGCCAACCAGUGGCAGGUCUCCAAGCCCAAGGACAACCCGCUGAACGAAGGGACGGACGCAGCCCGGGCUGCCAUCGCCUUCUCCUUUUUCUCCAUCUUCACCUGGGUGAGUACAGCCA